UUUGCAAACUGGAGUGAUCAUUGCUAUCAGCUGGAGGGCUGUUAAAAUACUGGUUGACUCACUAUUUCUGUUUCACUGUCUCGGGUGCAGGUCCAAGAAUUUGCAUUUCUAAUGGGUUCCAGGUGAUGCUGUUGCUAAUGAUUCUGGUUUGGGGGCCAUGCUUUAAGAACCACUGAUCUAAAACCUAAGGCAGGGUUUCUUUAAGAUGGUUUUAAAAGGACUGCCUUGCUCUUAAAAGGACUGCCUUAUUCGGUAACACCCGGCAUUUGGUAAGAAGGCAGAUCCUUGAUUCCAGCCCCAACUCUGAGGAAGCAGAUUCUCUGCAUUUCGGGAACUACAGAUUCCGUCUCAGAGAUUUCCUCGUGGCAGUGAUUCCUCUUCACCCCUUUGAAUUCAGAAGGGUGGCAUAGAUGUCUUCAAAAUAAUUUUCUUCUAACCAAAACUAGAAGAUCAAGUGAAGUUUUCAUUGUCUCCAACUUCAUUUUUGCAUGUCCCAAAUAUAAGCAUUAUGCUGUGACUGGACAAAUUCCAAGCUAAAUACUUUAUAUCUGAAUUCCAGAAGUAACUCCCAAGGAAAUUUGUUUUAAAUAGAAUGGCGAUACCAAGUCUGCUGCUACUUUUUAAGCUAUAAAAUCUACAUUUCCUGAAGGUUAUUUUUCCCUUUCCAUCAGUUCUAAUCCCACAGAACUAUCUUUAGGCAGAAUCAAAUGAGUUUCCUGGUCUUUAAUGUCAAACAGUUCAAGUUUGCAAAUAUUGUCAGCUUACACGUGAAUCAACACAGGAUACAUGAGAAGACAAAGCUGCUUGCACUGUCAGUGAGCUUCCAAACACAUCAUUAACCCAGUGGUAACUCGUGAGGCCCCACUGGAGCUGUCUAAGGAAGCUGCAAAAGAAGGAGAAGCCAAUAGGGAAGGUAUCUAUCCCAAGUUUAAAAUCUUAACUGGGAAUCAUGUCAUAGAAUUUAAGGAGCUAGUGGGGCCCAGUACCCUAUCAAAUACAAAGGGAUAGACCUGUAAAUAAGAACUCUUGGAGUCUUCUCCCAAGAAUUUGUGAUGAUCUGUUAGUAAACUCUAUUUAAAUUAUGCUUAAAGGCUUAAGCGUUAGUUGCUCAAUCCUGUUCGACUCUUUGCCAUACCCACAAGGCUCCUCUGUCCAUGGAAUUCUCCAGGCAAGAACACUAGAAUGGUAGCUAUUUCCUUCUCCAUGGGAUCCUCCCAACCCAAGGAUUGAACCCAGGACUCCUGCUUUGCAGGCAGAUUCUUUACCAUCUGAACCACCAGUGAAGCCCUGAAGACUUGAAAAAAAGUGGGACUUUUUUUGUGUAUCAGGCAGCAAAGCCAUUUGUGAAGUGUUUAAUUAAACUUACUCUGACUAAAAAUGUAGGCUUAAAGAUUUGUUGAUUUUGUGACAAAUUAUAGAUGCUAAUUGUCUUGACUGGUUUUAUUUUGUAUUUUCCAGACAACAGGAUCAUAUAUGCAUAACUGUGGUUGGGGGAACAGGAGAAAAAAUACAAUUUUUGAGAAGAAACAUGUAUUUAAGUUAGCCAAAUGUUAUAAAACCAUAUAUAUAGGAACCAUAUAUAUUUUUCCUGAGAGAAAAAUUUGGAAGACAUAGAAAAGGAAAAAAAUGAAGUUCCUCUCUCUCAGAAUUUGCAUCUAAAAGAAAUGGAUGAUAGGUUUUUUUUUUCUUUCACAAACUUUGAAAUCUAGCUUCCUACUCAGUAAUCCUAACAUUUAGAUGCUUGUAAAUGAUACCAUUCCCUUAAAUACUAUACUUCUUUUCUGGAAGGCUUUAUAACUUUUAAUAAGAGGAGAAACCAUUUCUCUCCACCUAUUUGAUGUAGCAGAUUAUUUAUGGCGCCAACAUGUUGACACACUAUAAACUGUAAAAAAUGAGACCUAAUAAGGUUAAUUGUCAUCUGAACCUUCCUCUGUAGGCUGCAAUCUGUAGGCUUUGAUUGUUUCUCUGGGGGAAACUCUGCCCAGAUGGUGAAAUCUUCAAGGCCCUGACCCACAAGAGGCCUGCAGAGAUGGAGAACAAGGUGCUUCUCCACAGACUAAUUAAUUUACUAGUAUAGCACCUGUUCCAGAAUAGAUAGGGCUGGAAGGGAAGGCAGUCCCUGGGCACAGUGGCAAGCUCGCGAGUAAAUGGAUUUCAGCUGAUUAUAUUAAGCUGAUGCUUUGAUCAUCUAAAGGCGUUAAAAUGGAAAUAUGUUUUUUUCUGGCUGUUGGCCUCUGUGAGUGUGGCUUAUAUUAUUAUUAUUAUUAUUAUAAAUGUUGGGAAUAGAAAAGGCUGUUUUAGAUUUCAGCACGUUCCAUUUGGAAAGUACGCCAUAUAUUUGUCUAUUUCUUUUUCCAGUUUUAGAAAUGUGUGUUGUCAUAAAGCUGUAUCUUUUAAACAAUUCUGCUUUCUUGUUUCCAUUUUAUUCCAGCCAAAUUACUAGCUGGAAAUCAAACACCAGCACAGAUUCCUUUUAGCUAGAACAUUUUAUUAUGUACUCACACCUUUAAUUCAAUGUGUGUAAUUAGGCUUUAAUCAGCUGAACACUAUUUGUGAAAAAAUAUCAGACACUUCUUUAAAGAAAAUUCUGGUAAAGUCAUGCUAUUAAGCUUUGGUGACUAUUUACUGGCACAAAUAAAUCCUUGAGUAAACAA
This is a long non-coding RNA of Bubalus bubalis (water buffalo), 2654 nucleotides long. RefSeq lists it as uncharacterized. The transcript has 3 exons. The record is from RefSeq and is a predicted model, not a curated record. NCBI's taxonomy places the organism in Eukaryota, Metazoa, Chordata, Mammalia, Artiodactyla, Bovidae.